This 48-nucleotide small RNA is filed under the name Arabidopsis thaliana (thale cress). Its description in RNAcentral is "ATSL041540". The record is from RNAcentral. Lineage: Eukaryota; Viridiplantae; Streptophyta; Magnoliopsida; Brassicales; Brassicaceae.
GAUUUCAUGUGUAUGAUUGAGUAUAAGAACUAGAUCGCAACCGGUUCC